RNAcentral lists this ribosomal RNA (497 nucleotides) under uncultured bacterium. Its description in RNAcentral is "partial 16S ribosomal RNA". It matches the Rfam family "Bacterial small subunit ribosomal RNA", at positions 28 to 507 of the family's 1533-position model. The record is from RNAcentral.
GAUGAACGCUGGCGGCGUGCCUAAUACAUGCCAGUCGAGCGAACGGACGAGAAGCUUGCUUCUCUGAUGUUAUCGGCGGACGGGUGAGUAACACGUGGAUAACCUACCUAUAAGACUGGGAUAACUUCGGGAAACCGGAGCUAAUACCGGAUAAUAUUUUGAAACGCAUGGUUCAAAAGUGAAAGACGGUCUUGCUGUCACUUAUAGAUGGAUCCGCGCUGCAUUAGCUAGUUGGUAAGGUAACGGCUUACCAAGGCAACGAUGCAUAGCCGACCUGAGAGGGUGAUCGGCCACAUUGGAACUGAGACACGGUCCAGACUCCUACGGGGGGCAGCAGUAGGGAAUCUUCCGCAAUGGGCGAAAGCCUGACGGAGCAACGCCGCGUGAGUGAUGAAGGUCUUCUGCUCGUAAAACUCUGUUAUUAGGGAAGAACAUAUGUGUAAGUAACUGUGCACAUCUUGACGGUACCUAAUCAGAAAGCCACGGCUAACUACGUG